Molecule: ribosomal RNA, 418 nt
Filed under: uncultured prokaryote
Description: bacterial SSU rRNA
Rfam family: Archaeal small subunit ribosomal RNA
Source: RNAcentral
GUGCCAGCCGCCGCGGUAAUACCAGCACCCCGAGUGGUCGGGAUGAUUAUUGGGCCUAAAGCAUCCGUAGCCGGUGUAACAAGUCCUCCGUUAAAUCCACCUGCUUAACAGGUGGGCUGCGGAGGCUACUGUUACACUAGGAGGCGGGAGAGGCGAGGGGUAUUCCACGGGUAGGGGUAAAAUCUUCUGAUCCGUGGAGGACCACCAGUGGCGAAGGCGCCUCGCCAGAACGCGCUCGACGGUGAGGGAUGAAGGCUGGGGGAGCAAACCGGAUUAGAUACCCGGGGAGGCCCAGCCGUAAACGAUGUAGGCUCAGUGAUGGACUGGCUCCGAGCCAGUCCAGUGCCGCAGGGAAGCCGGUAAGCCUACCGCCUGGGGAGUACGGCCGCAAGGCUGAAACUUAAAUGAAUUGACGGGG